Long non-coding RNA from Cyanistes caeruleus (blue tit), 1068 nucleotides. NCBI's taxonomy places the organism in Eukaryota, Metazoa, Chordata, Aves, Passeriformes, Paridae. The record is from Ensembl.
CUUUAAUUUAUUUCUGAUUUACAGGUAUAGUUUCUGUCAACUUUAUCAGUGACAUUUGCCACAUCAGAUCUGUUGCUGUGUGAUAAUUUCCUAAUGCCACAUACUCAGAGGCACAUCCAACUCUUCUCCAGAAGUGAACUGAGAGCAGCAGGACGGGCCUGAGCACGAGUCUCAAGGCAGAGCAGGAAGUUGGCUCAGAACAGCACUGCCCCACAUCCAUGGGACCCUCUUCUCCCAUCUCCAUUCCUACAGCAAUGCUCAGGACACAAAACACACUUUGCUCCUCUACACUGUCAAACCCAAUUAGACUGCAGCAAGAAGGAUUGGUCACUGCACUGAAAAGAUUUGAGAGAGCACAAAAUUACAGAGCUGGACUGGACAGGUGUCAUGGAUCUGCUUCUUCUGUUUUGAGGGGGUGUUGUCUCUGAAAACUUUAUUUCUCCCUUAUCUCUAAAGUACAGGAGGGCAGUAACACAUUUCUCUGAUCCUGGAAAGCCAGAGUAAUGGAUUGCAUAUAUCUCUUGAAUGGAUUGCAUAUGCUCUGAAGCCUAUUUCCAAACUGCAUAACUUAUAGAAAAACACAGUUAAUAGCUGGCAAACUUGGUUGUUGCACUAGUGUUGGUUGGGGUAGAGAUAAUAUUUUUCAUACUGUCAAUACUGUCUGUUUUGGAUUUGUGCUGGAAACAUCAGGGAGGUUUUCAUUAUUGCUGAGCAGUACUUCCACAGAGUCAAGGCCUUUUCUGCCUUUCCACCUGCCAGAGAGGUGGGGGUGCACAUGGAUCUGGGAGAGGACACAGCCAGAACAGCUGACCCUAGAUGAUCAAAGGCAUAUUCCGUACCAUAGGGUGCCAUGCUCAGCGUACACAGCUGGGGAAAUAAGUAGAAAGGAUGGGAUGUUCAGAAUUAUGGCUUUUGCUUUCCCAAGUCACCACUACAUGUGUGGAGCCCUGUUUUCCUGAGCAUGGUUGAACACCUGCCUGUCCAUGGGAAAUGGUGAAUGAAAGUCUUGUUUUGCUUUUCUCAUGUUUGAGGUUUCUGCUUUACUUAUUAAACUGUCUUUGCCUCAAC